This 604-nucleotide ribosomal RNA is filed under the name uncultured bacterium. Its description in RNAcentral is "bacterial SSU rRNA". It matches the Rfam family "Bacterial small subunit ribosomal RNA", at positions 888 to 1498 of the family's 1533-position model. The record is from RNAcentral.
GCAAGAUUAAAACUCAAAGGAAUAGACGGGGACCCGCACAAGUGGUGGAGCAUGUGGUUUAAUUCGAAGAUACGCGAAGAACCUUACCUAGCCUUGACAUAUUUUAGAACUCCGUAGAGAUACAGAGGUGCCUUCGGGAGCUAAUUUACAGGUGCUGCACGGCUGUCGUCAGCUCGUGUCGUGAGAUGUUGGGUUAAGUCCCGCAACGAGCGCAACCCUCGUCACUAGUUACUAACGGUUCGGCCGAGGACUCUAGUGAGACUGCCUUCGUAAGGAGGAGGAAGGUGAGGACGACGUCAAGUCAUCAUGGCCCUUACGGCUAGGGCAACACACGUGCUACAAUGGCCAGGACAGUGAGAAGCGAUACCGCGAGGUGGAGCAAAUCUAUAAACCUGGUCUCAGUUCGGAUUGUAGUCUGCAACUCGACUACAUGAAGCUGGAAUCACUAGUAAUCGUAGAUCAGCUAUGCUACGGUGAAUACGUUCCCGGGUCUUGUACUCACCGCCCGUCACACCAUGGGAGUUGAUUUCACCCGAAGCGGGGAAGCUAAACUGGCUACCCUCCACGGUGGAAUCAGCGACUGGGGUGAAGUCGUAACAAGGUA